AAAACUUCUAUUUUUGAUAAUCCUAAUCCUAUUCAAAAUCAAAGACGUACAGAUAGAAUUUACAUGGAUAAUCCCAUUAGGAAUCAGACUCUGUAUGACUUUAUCAUCUUUAGAAACCAUCGCAGGAUGACAGAACCAACGCGACACGUAAGCUCUGUCGCGCUGCGAUACCACUGUCGCCCCGCGUCAAAAGGCGUUUUAUCCGAUUCAAAUUAUGAUUUUUUUUUAUCGUGCAAAAUCUCUAUUUUUCCCUAUAAAUAGAGGUCGUUUUCCUUCGUUUCAAAUCAGUCACAAUCAACCAUCAAAAUCCUUAGCUCAUCUUUUCCUAUUACACGAACUAAUUGAUCUCAACCAGCUUUUUUCCAGAUUGUUUUUUGUUUUGCUUGCUAUUCAGCACAUCUCAAUUUAGUGCAAGUGUGUACAAAACAUUAGUAUCCCUUUAUCCUAACGUAUUCGAGGAUUUCAUAUACAAGUAAUUAUCAUGCUUCUCUAACAAAUCGGCUUUUCAUGUAUAGACUGGCAACCAAAUUGAUCUUAAUUUUCCUGUUUUCCAAAAUAUUCUUUGUUUUGCUGGGCACAAGAAGCAGAGAGGGAUAGCGCACAAGAACAGCAGCAGCCUCUUAAACAAGUGCCAUCCUCAUUCCUUAAUGCCCAUUUGAGUAUUGAAUUGACCACUAUGAGACUUUGUUCGGUGAAACUACGGUGUUAGUUACUCCGUAAACUUUUAAUGGCAGGUUGUGUUAUAUGAGCGAGUUUUUGCUUAAAGUUAAUUACUUUUAGUACUCUAUAUGUGCCUGAGAAAAUAAGUGUUUAAACGCACGUUAAUAAAUCAAACUAUAUGAACCAAAAUAUAAUCACAUUUUACUUGUAUAUUACAUUGAGCAAAUUACCCUAGUCUCAAAGAAUGAUGUAAAGAUAUUGAAGAGAUGAACAAAAAUCACUUGGAUGUAAAAGAAUUAGCUAGUGCUCGUGCUUAAAUAUUAAAUUAGGUGUAGCUCAUAUAAACUGUAGUACUGUACAAUGUGAUGUUUUAAUGGCCACCCACAACAAUUUGGACCAAAAAAAA
This is a long non-coding RNA of Chenopodium quinoa (quinoa), 1066 nucleotides long. RefSeq lists it as uncharacterized. The record is from RefSeq and is a predicted model, not a curated record. The transcript is spliced from 2 exons. Lineage: Eukaryota; Viridiplantae; Streptophyta; Magnoliopsida; Caryophyllales; Amaranthaceae.